Molecule: unclassified non-coding RNA, 336 nt
Filed under: soil metagenome
Description: partial contains 5.8S ribosomal RNA, internal transcribed spacer 2, and large subunit ribosomal RNA
Rfam family: 5.8S ribosomal RNA (bases 1-119)
Source: RNAcentral
GAUGAAAACGUAGCGAAAUGCGAUAAGUAGUGUGAAUUGCAGAAUUCAGUGAAUCAUCGAAUCUUUGAACGCACAUUGCGCCCCAUGGUAUUCCGUGGGGCAUGCCUGUUCGAGCGUCAUUUACCCCCUCAAGCUCCGCUUGGUGUUGGGCGUCUGUCCCGCUUCGCGCGCGGACUCGCCCCAAAGGUAUUGGCAGCGGUCGUGCCAGCUUCUCGCGCAGCACAUUGCGCUUCUCGAGGCACCGGUGGGCCCGCGUCCAUCAAGCUCACCCCCCCAGUUUGACCUCGGAUCAGGUAGGGAUACCCGCUGAACUUAAGCAUAUCAAUAAGCGGAGGA